UACAGAGGGGGCAAGCGUUAUUCGGAAUUAUUGGGCGUAAAGGGCGCGUAGGCGGCUUUGCAAGUGACGGGUGAAAUCCCACGGCUUAACCGUGGAACUGCCUGUCAGACUGCAUGGCUUGAGACCAGGAGAGGUGAGUGGAAUUCCCAGUGUAGCGGUGAAAUGCGUAGAUAUUGGGAGGAACACCAGUGGCGAAGGCGGCUCACUGGACUGGUACUGACGCUGAGGAACGAAAGCGUGGGGAGCGAACAGG
Molecule: ribosomal RNA, 253 nt
Filed under: uncultured bacterium
Lineage: Bacteria
Description: partial 16S ribosomal RNA
Rfam family: Bacterial small subunit ribosomal RNA
Source: RNAcentral